UAACUAACAGCUGUGCCUCCACUUCCCC
This 28-nucleotide non-coding RNA is filed under the name Mus musculus (house mouse). Lineage: Eukaryota; Metazoa; Chordata; Mammalia; Rodentia; Muridae. The record is from RNAcentral.